RNAcentral lists this ribosomal RNA (589 nucleotides) under Inocybe sp. YM2764. Its description in RNAcentral is "eukaryotic LSU rRNA". The stretch from base 288 to 443 matches the Rfam family "5.8S ribosomal RNA". The record is from RNAcentral. Lineage: Eukaryota; Fungi; Basidiomycota; Agaricomycetes; Agaricales; Inocybaceae.
GUGAACCUGCGGAAGGAUCAUUUAUUGAAAAUAAAACGUUGAUAGGCUGUUGCUGGCUUUCAGGGCAUGUGCACGCUUGUCAGCUUUAUGUUUUUCUUUCCACCUGUGCACUCUUUGUAGACCCUAGAGGAAAGUUUAUCGUCAGAUAGGUUGAGGACUGCUGUGCCCUUGUGGGGGUGCCAAGCUUUGCCUUGCGGUAUCUAGGGUUCUAUGUCAUUCACAUACUCCUAUGAAAUGUAAUGGAAUGUUGACCUGGGUCCUUUUUAGUACCCAUAAAGUUUAUAUACAACUUUCAGCAACGGAUCUCUUGGCUCUCGCAUCGAUGAAGAACGCAGCGAAAUGCGAUAAGUAAUGUGAAUUGCAGAAUUCAGUGAAUCAUCGAAUCUUUGAACGCAUCUUGCGCUCCUUGGUAUUCCCGGAGGAGCAUGCCUGUUUGAGUGUCAUUUAAUUCUCAACCACAUUGAUUCCGUCAUUGUGGAUUGGAUUUGGGGGGAUUUUUUUUGUGGGCUUUUUGUGUAAAGAAAGUCUGCUCCCCUAAAAUUAAUUAGCGGUACUUUAAAUAGAACCGUCUACAGGUGUGAUAAUUUAU